RNAcentral lists this ribosomal RNA (253 nucleotides) under uncultured bacterium. RNAcentral's name for it is "partial 16S ribosomal RNA". It matches the Rfam family "Bacterial small subunit ribosomal RNA", at positions 524 to 776 of the family's 1533-position model. The record is from RNAcentral.
UACAGAGGUCCCAAGCGUUGUUCGGAUUCACUGGGCGUAAAGGGUGCGUAGGCGGUCGGGUAAGUCUGAUGUGAAAUCUCACAGCUUAACUGUGAAACUGCAUUGGAUACUAUCCGGCUAGAGGAAUGGAGGGGAGACUGGAAUACUUGGUGUAGCAGUGAAAUGCGUAGAUAUCAAGUGGAACACUAGUGGCGAAGGCGAGUCUCUGGACAUUUCCUGACGCUGAGGCACGAAAGCCAGGGGAGCAAACGGG